GACUGAUUCAUGUAGCCUCAUGAGAUUGUAAUUCUAGUCUAAAAUGUUAUGUUUUUUUGAUUAGGUGUGUUUAUCGAGGGAUUCAGGAAGACCUGUGAGGGCCCUAAUCCAAAUUAUAAGCUGAGUGAAAAUUGUGCCUCAAAGGUCAAGAGGGUGACGCAAUUUUUAAACUACAUGGCGAAGAAUGAGACCUACCAGUCCUCUCUCAUUUUCCUGACAGACCAUGACAAAAUAAGGAAAUGGGUUCAAUUCCUCCAGAAGAACAAGGCAAUCACCACAGUCAACCACUACACCUUGACUAUUGGUGCAUUUCUUAAAUAUUCUGAGGAGACCCCUCCAUCUGGCUGCCGGCUGACCGUGAACCAAUGGAGGGGGAUCAACCGGUUGAUGAAGGGCAUUAGCAAGUCCAUGAGACGACCAGUUUCCCUUCACCAGAUAAAGGUGAAGGACAACAAGGAAGGCAAGGUGGUGUCCAAAAAGAGCCUGCUGCAGUGCCAGUCUCUUGCCAAGGCCAAAAUCCCUCAAGUGCUGAGUAAGUUUUUCUCAAUCUGUGAUGUCACUGUUUUUACACACUUAUAGACGUCAGAGAUGUAUAGAAUGCAUUAUGGAGUGGGAUUAUGAAGCUGCCUUUUUUUAUUUUCAUGUUCACAGAAACAUUGGAAGAAACAAGGACACAGAGGAAUCAGUACAGGUUUUAUGGGUACCUGUGUGCCUACUUUACAUCCAUAUACGGCCACAGACCAGGCCUAUAUAAAAACAUGUUGGUGAAAGAGGUGGAGGAGGCAAAAUGUGACCAGUCUGGGGUGUACCUGAUCAAUGUAAGUCUAUGAAAUACAGCUGGCUGUGUUUAUUUGUUUGUUUGCUUGGUUGGUUAUCUUUGGAAACAAUUGCAGUCGCAGGAGCGUAAUGUGUUUUUUUGUGUUUUUUCUCUGUUCAAUUUCUAUUAGGUGGGGGAACACAAAACAAAUCGGGAGUACGGCAUGGUCCAGAUGUCGCUGACAAAGGAGGAGUACAGCUGGUUUUCCGACUUCCUCAAAUUCAAGCACUGUCUCUUAGGGGGAAAGAAGGCCCAGCACUUCUUUUUCAAUUCAACAAACACUCAGAUGAAGAACCUGCCUGCCUACCUGAGGGAGGUGUGGAAGGAGAUGGGUCUGCCCGAAUGUCCUUCAUUCACUGACCUGAGGACCUCCAUUGUCACUCAUGUAGGUCAGAUUAGAUAGGAAUCUAAUUAAUGUAAGAUCCUAUUCUAUUGUUGUCUGAAGUAAUAUCAAUAAUAACAUAUAUUUGUGUGUGUGUGUGUGUGUGUGUCUUACAGGUAAAAAACAUGCUCCCAAAGGUUGACAGGGAAAGGGUGGCCAACUUCAUGUGCCACAACAUCCAGACGGCAGACAAAUAUUAUGCCAUGAAUUUAAAUCCAACCCAAGCAAAUGAAACCAGGGCACUCUUUGAGGCUGCACUGAAGGGGGAAGAUAACACAGUCGCCGCAGAGAACCAGCCCUCCACCUCAGGAGAAAGAAAGCAGAAGGUGAGAGAGGAUGCCUCCCUCUCCGACGGGAGCACCACCCCUGAAGAGACCAAGGUGAUGUACCAGGAGUCUGGCACGUCCGCCGGUGACUCGGAAGAGGAGGAAGAGGAUGAAGAUGAGGAACAGAUGGCCAGACAACUUCCAGUAAGAUCAGCUAUUCUGACAGGACACAUUUGAUUAUCAAAAUGUACUUGUAAACUAUGUAACAGUCAAGUGUGAAUUCUGAGAUAUAUCUAAUUUCUUGUGUUUGCUCUGUCAGGAGACACCUUCCAAGGUGACCAAUCCUCAGGUGGAGAUGGAACUUACCCCAAAGAGGAAGCGGAGCAUCUGCACACGCCGCAUGGAGGUCGCCAUCAGCCCCAUGCUAGUCUCACCGCUCAAAGUGAGGCUCAAGUCGCCCCCCCACCAGUCCCUCAUUGUCACAUUAAAAGGGAUGCAACAACUAAACUCAAAUAAAGUCAGACUAAAAAAUGCCAUUGCCUCAAGGAGGUUAAAGCUGCAGGAGAAGGUGCAAAAGAGAGGAGGGGACCCCUGAUGCAGCUCGAAGGAAGGGGAGCCGACCAACAACAAGACUUCCUCUUCCAAAUAGUCAUGUAGAUUGUUUUAGACUCUCACAUUUAUACUGUUCUGAUUUUGUUUGGUUUGAUUUUCAAUUUUGGUGUGCUUGUUUACAUUUUAGAAGUGUAAAAUGUGUGUAAUUUAGUCUAACUGUCUGUUCAAUUUUCUAUUUUGGUGUGAUUCUUUAUAAUGUAAAGGUUUGUUCUGUUUUAUUAAAUAACUAGUUUAGUAAUUAUUUGUGUUGUGCUUUCUUUAAGGUUAUAUUCUAACUGUCUGUUCAAUUU
RNAcentral lists this long non-coding RNA (2367 nucleotides) under Oncorhynchus mykiss (rainbow trout). Its description in RNAcentral is "lncRNA (ENSOMYG00000059566.1)". The record is from RNAcentral. Lineage: Eukaryota; Metazoa; Chordata; Actinopteri; Salmoniformes; Salmonidae.